This 242-nucleotide ribosomal RNA is filed under the name uncultured fungus. RNAcentral describes it as "partial 18S ribosomal RNA". The stretch from base 74 to 242 matches the Rfam family "Eukaryotic small subunit ribosomal RNA", at positions 735 to 905 of the family's 1831-position model. The record is from RNAcentral. Lineage: Eukaryota; Fungi.
GUCCGCCUCACCGCGUGUACUGGUCCGGCCGGGCCUUUCCUUCUGGGGAGCCGCAUGCCCUUCACUGGGCGUGUUGGGGAACCAGGACUUUUACUUUGAAAAAAUUAGAGUGUUCAAAGCAGGCCUUUGCUCGAAUACAUUAGCAUGGAAUAAUAGAAUAGGACGUGCGGUUCUAUUUUGUUGGUUUCUAGGACCGCCGUAAUGAUUAAUAGGGAUAGUCGGGGGCAUCAGUAUUCAAUUGU